CCAGUUGAAAAUGGACCUUGGAGGGAAAAAGUACGAGAAACCAUGAAGGAUCAAGUAGGAAGGUUCAGCGAAAUGAGGACAAAUCUACUACCUUGAAAUUGGCUGAUUUUGGACUUGCAAAGCAUGUGGUGAGACCUAUAUUUACUGUGUGUGGGACCCCAACUUACGUAGCUCCUGAAAUUCUUUCUGAGAAAGGUUAUGGACUGGAGGUGGACAUGUGGGCUGCUGGCGUGAUCCUCUAUAUCCUGCUGUGUGGCUUUCCCCCGUUCCGCAGCCCUGA
Molecule: small RNA, 280 nt
Filed under: Pongo abelii (Sumatran orangutan)
Lineage: Eukaryota; Metazoa; Chordata; Mammalia; Primates; Hominidae
Description: processed transcript
Source: RNAcentral